AUUGAACGCUGGCGGCAGGCCUAACACAUGCAAGUCGAGCGAGCGGCGGACGGGUGAGUAAUGUAUGGGGACUGCCCGAUAGAGGGGGAUAACUAAUGGAAACGGUUGCUACUAACGCAUACUAUCGGAUAACCCAUAUUGGAUUAGCUAGUGGUGGGGGUAAAGGCUCCCCUAGGCGACGAACUCUAGCUGGUCUGCGAGGAUGAUCAGCCACACUGUGACUGAGACACGGCCCAGACUCCUACGGAGGCAGCAGUGGGGAAUAUUGCACAAUGGGCGCAAGCCUGAUACAGCCAUGCCGCGUGUAUGAAGAAGGCCUUAGGGUUGUAAAGUACUUUCAGCGGGGAGGCGUUACCCGCAGAAGAAGCACCGGCUAACUCCGUGCCAGCAGCCGCGGUAAUAC
This 403-nucleotide ribosomal RNA is filed under the name uncultured bacterium. RNAcentral describes it as "partial 16S ribosomal RNA". It matches the Rfam family "Bacterial small subunit ribosomal RNA", at positions 30 to 526 of the family's 1533-position model. The record is from RNAcentral.